RNAcentral lists this ribosomal RNA (468 nucleotides) under Triticum aestivum (bread wheat). RNAcentral's name for it is "partial small subunit ribosomal RNA". The record is from RNAcentral. Lineage: Eukaryota; Viridiplantae; Streptophyta; Magnoliopsida; Poales; Poaceae.
AUGAAUUGGACGAGCAACGGCCACGGGAGUGGCAUACCCCGUCGCCUAAGGCUGGAUUCCCUAAAUUCGAUGGUCAAAACCCCAAACUAUGGCAACAACGUGAAACCUAUUUUGAGAUUGAGUUCUGUGAGCGUGUGCAACAUGGACAUGCCGAGGGACGAAAAUGAGCAUGAGAACAACGACAAUGAAGAACAAGCUUCAGAGGUGAUGCUAAUUGGUUCAUAUUUGAGUACACCCAAGCGCAAACAUGCACUCCAAUUGCAUGUUUACGUGGGCAAGCACCAUGUUCAGAUUCGCAUGGACUUGCACAACGUGGGCACAUUCAUCAGCACAGAUAUGGCUAUGUGGCUCCACUGCAAGAUCCAGUUGUGCCCUCCUGUAGAUCUCAUAGUGGAAAAUGGCGCUCAAUUUCUUGUGACACCUAUGUGCCCCAGCUGGAAUGGUCUGUGCAUGGCCACAAAUUCGUAG